UACGUAGGGGGCAAGCGUUGUCCGGAUUUAUUGGGCGUAAAGAGCGUGUAGGCGGCCAGAUAAGUCCGCUGUGAAAACUCGAGGCUUAACCUCGAGAUGUCGGCGGAAACCAUCUGGCUAGAGUCCGGAAGAGGAGAAUGGAAUUCCCGGUGUAGCGGUGAAAUGCGCAGAUAUCGGGAAGAACACCCGUGGCGAAGGCGGUUCUCUGGGACGGUACUGACGCUGAGACGCGAAAGCGUGGGGAGCGAACAGG
RNAcentral lists this ribosomal RNA (253 nucleotides) under uncultured bacterium. Its description in RNAcentral is "partial 16S ribosomal RNA". It matches the Rfam family "Bacterial small subunit ribosomal RNA", at positions 524 to 776 of the family's 1533-position model. The record is from RNAcentral.